GCCCUCCAGAUGUUUUGGGACUACAGUUCCCAUCAUCCCUGACCACAGAUCCUGUUAGCUAGAGAUGAUGGGAGUUGUAGUCCCAAAACAUCUGGAGGGC
This is a non-coding RNA of Podarcis lilfordi (Lilford's wall lizard), 100 nucleotides long. The record is from the annotation of a GenBank genome assembly. NCBI's taxonomy places the organism in Eukaryota, Metazoa, Chordata, Lepidosauria, Squamata, Lacertidae.